This 477-nucleotide ribosomal RNA is filed under the name uncultured bacterium. Its description in RNAcentral is "partial 16S ribosomal RNA". It matches the Rfam family "Bacterial small subunit ribosomal RNA", at positions 30 to 507 of the family's 1533-position model. The record is from RNAcentral.
AUUGAACGCUGGCGGCAUGCCUUACACAUGCAAGUCGAACGGUAACAGGUUAAGCUGACGAGUGGCGAACGGGUGAGUAAUGUAUCGGAACGUGCCCAGUCGUGGGGGAUAACUGCUCGAAAGAGCAGCUAAUACCGCAUACGACCUGAGGGUGAAAGCGGGGGAUCGCAAGACCUCGCGCGAUUGGAGCGGCCGAUAUCAGAUUAGGUAGUUGGUGAGGUAAAGGCUCACCAAGCCGACGAGCUGUAGCUGGUCUGAGAGGACGACCAGCCACACUGGGACUGAGACACGGCCCAGACUCCUACGGGAGGCAGCAGUGGGGAAUUUUGGACAAUGGGCGCAAGCCUGAUCCAGCCAUGCCGCGUGCGGGAAGAAGGCCUUCGGGUUGUAAACCGCUUUUGUCAGGGAAGAAAAGGUUCUGGCUAAUACCUGGGACUCAUGACGGUACCUGAAGAAUAAGCACCGGCUAACUACGUG